This 67-nucleotide transfer RNA is filed under the name Eurycotis decipiens. Its description in RNAcentral is "tRNA-Pro". The record is from RNAcentral. Lineage: Eukaryota; Metazoa; Arthropoda; Insecta; Blattodea; Blattidae.
CAGAGAAUAUUUUAUAUAAAAUAUUAAUUUUGGGGAUUAAUGAAGAGAUAUUAAAUCUUUUCUCUGA